ACGGAAGGCAGCAGUGGGGAAUAUUGCACAAUGGGGGAAACCCUGAUGCAGCGACGCCGCGUGAGUGAAGAAGUAUUUCGGUAUGUAAAGCUCUAUCAGCAGGAAAGAAAAUGACGGUACCUGACUAAGAAGCCCCGGCUAACUACGUGCCAGCAGCCGCGGUAAUACGUAGGGGGCAAGCGUUAUCCGGAUUUACUGGGUGUAAAGGGAGCGUAGACGGCUUUGCAAGUCUGAAGUGAAAGCCCGGGGCUCAACCCCGGAACUGCUUUGGAAACUGUUAAGCUAGAGUGCAGGAGAGGUAAGUGGAAUUCCUAGUGUAGCGGUGAAAUGCGUAGAUAUUAGGAGGAACACCAGUGGCGAAGGCGGCUUACUGGACUGUAACUGACGUUGAGGCUCGAAGGCGUGGGGAGCAAACAAGAUUAGAUACCCUGGUA
RNAcentral lists this ribosomal RNA (434 nucleotides) under uncultured Lachnospiraceae bacterium. RNAcentral describes it as "partial 16S ribosomal RNA". It matches the Rfam family "Bacterial small subunit ribosomal RNA", at positions 341 to 792 of the family's 1533-position model. The record is from RNAcentral. Lineage: Bacteria; Bacillati; Bacillota; Clostridia; Lachnospirales; Lachnospiraceae.